Molecule: ribosomal RNA, 212 nt
Filed under: uncultured bacterium
Lineage: Bacteria
Description: partial 16S ribosomal RNA
Rfam family: Bacterial small subunit ribosomal RNA
Source: RNAcentral
CAGUUCAGACUGCAGGCUGCAACUCGCCUGCACGAAGUCGGAGUUGCUAGUAAUCGUAGGUCAGCAUACUACGGUGAAUACGUUCCCGGGCCUUGUACACACCGCCCGUCAAACCAUGAGAGUUGGCAACACCCGAAGUCGGUAGUCUAACCGCAAGGAGGACGCCGCCGAAGGUGGGGUUGAUGAUUAGGGUUAAGUCGUAACAAGGUAGC